GGAGCCAGAGAUGCCAAACAGGGUCCUCCCCGGAGCUCGUAGUUUGCGGUGGGCAAUGACAGAGCUGUGAGUCUCCUCUGGAUCCAAAAAGGCCACCUCUUUCCCCAAGCUGUGCACCUACCCACAGGUGACAGCAUGCAGUGGGCACGCGUGCAGGGGUGACUGUUCAACAAAUCGCCACGAACUCUGUGAAUACUCGCUAAACACAGGCCAGGCCCCAGGCCUUGUGCUGGGUGAUGGCAGGACAAAGGACACGCAGACACGGUCCCAGUCUGAUGGGACACUGAGCCAUCACAGCACAGGGGCCGCGGGGGCCCAGAGAAGGCCUCUCCCUUGGCCCAGAAGACUUCCUGAAAGAAGGUCCCUUUGCGCUGGAUUCUAAAGGACAAACAGAGGCGCGGGGAGAGGGAACAGCGGGAACAAAGGCCCAGGGGCAGGGAGGCCUCGGGUGCUGCACAACUGGAGCGUGAAGCGCUGAGGAAGAGAGCGAGCUGCAGCGGCCUGCGGGGUCGGAGGGAGGUGAGGACUGUGCCCCGGGGCCCGGGCAGCACAUGCACCCCUCCCCCAGCCCCAAGCUUCCCACACUGACUCCGGGGCACCUCGCCCCCCCUCGCUUCUCUGCCUCCUUCGCUGGUUCCUCCUGUUUCCCAGGGCCAGCCCUCUGCCCCUUCUCCAUCCGCUCUCCAGACCAUCUCCUGGCUUCAAAGAGCAGCUGAAUCUGAGCAGCUGAAUCGAGCUCUGUUUCGAGCCCAGUCCUGCCUACUUGACGUCUUUACCUGGAUGCGGAGCAAGCAUCUCAUGGAGCAUCACCGCAACCGCUCAUUCCACAGCCUGCCCCGCCUCAGAGAAGGGCAGCUCCAGCCUCCGGGUCUGUUUUGUUCACUUCUGUAAUCAUGCAGGGCCUGGUGCUCCAUACUUGCAGGAAGGGACAGAAGGGAGAGUUUUCAGGAUGCUCAGAAGUGAGAUCUCUGAGGCGUCGGAAGGGCUGAGGAGGCAGGAAACCGAACAUCCAGGUAACAGAUGCCAAGGACUUGGGCCCCACUGGCACCAGGGAUGGAGUGGGAAGUGCCAGUGCGGGCAGAAUGGACCCUUGUUCUGGCCUUUUGUUUCCUGCACCCGUGCCCAAUGAGCCCAGGGCAAGAGUCCGGCACAUCUGCGUCUCGCCCUUUCUCCUGCCCUGCCCAGCCCCGUCCCAGCCCCGGGCACCCCAGCUCCACUCAGUUCAGGGCAGAGCCCUUGCAGAAGCAGGGGAUGUGCUCUGGGCUCUGGCCCCUGAGUCUGAGAAAUCCUCAAGGGACAGGGAGCAGAGGCUUGGGGUGGGGCGAUCCCCAGGGUCACCCCCAGACCAUGAAGCUGAACAGCCCCGGCCAAGCCCAAGCUGGAGUCCUGCUCUGCUCUGUGCCUUGGCUGUCGCUGACUGCCCACCCCGCACGCCUCCAACCUCUUCUUGCCCUCGGCCAGACCCUGCUGGCAUCAGCUGGUUUGCUCAAGGCUCUCAGUGCCCAGCCAGAAGGGACAGGGUGGGCAGUCUCUAGCUAGGUCAGCUUUUCCUGACUCAGGCCUGGCCCUCACUCGGGGCCCUCAGGCUGGCAGGCCCCUUGGCUAAGGCAUCGUGGGCAGUGAUGACCUGUGGGAAAGCAGCUGCCAGGCUGGGACCCGGCCCGUCCGCUUGCACCCGUUUCAGCGAUGGGCUAAAGCCCUUCUCCAUGAAAGAGGAGGAAUGACAGCCGCCUUCUGCCUCUCACUCUGGGGCCCUCUCCUGGCUGCACAACCUGGGUCUGGCCUGGCCCUGUUCUUGAUCAGCCUGCGCGGGGCAGGGAGGCGAAUGCGCUCCGGGGACAGGAGCCUGACCUCUCCUCAAAGAUCUGCCGAGAAGGCCAACCCUGAACCAGCCCUUGCCACGGCUGCCUCUGCUCCCACCUGCCCCCGGGUCCUGCUCCAGGGAACUAUGGAGGUUCGACGGUCAUCCCUGCCUCAUCCAUGGCCCGGCGCUGGCCCGGCACACGACAGUUGCUCGGAGCUCUUCAAAGUGUGCGUUCAGGAUGCAGCUUGCACCAUCUUCUGAGUCAAGUCCAGGAGUUCCCGUUGCGCCUCAGUGGUGACGAACCUGACUCGAAUC
This is a long non-coding RNA of Phacochoerus africanus (Common warthog), 2119 nucleotides long. RefSeq lists it as uncharacterized. Lineage: Eukaryota; Metazoa; Chordata; Mammalia; Artiodactyla; Suidae. The transcript is spliced from 3 exons. The record is from RefSeq and is a predicted model, not a curated record.